RNAcentral lists this ribosomal RNA (276 nucleotides) under uncultured bacterium. Its description in RNAcentral is "partial 16S ribosomal RNA". It matches the Rfam family "Bacterial small subunit ribosomal RNA", at positions 79 to 354 of the family's 1533-position model. The record is from RNAcentral.
CUUUCUCCGCCGGCGACCGGCGCGCGGGUGAGUAACACGUAUGCAACCUGCCCCUGUCAGGGGGACAACCCGCCGAAAGGCGGGCUAAACCCGCGUACAUGCCACCGGGGCAUCCCGGAGGCAGGAAAGGCUUCGGCCGGACAGGGAUGGGCAUGCGGCGCAUUAGGCAGUAGGCGGGGUAACGGCCCACCUAACCGACGAUGCGUAGGGGUUCUGAGAGGAAGGUCCCCCACACUGGUACUGAGACACGGACCAGACUCCUACGGGAGGCAGCAG